Molecule: ribosomal RNA, 441 nt
Filed under: uncultured bacterium
Lineage: Bacteria
Description: partial 16S ribosomal RNA
Rfam family: Bacterial small subunit ribosomal RNA
Source: RNAcentral
CCUACGGGUGACAGCAGUAGGGAAUUUUGCGCAAUGGGGGAAACCCUGACGCAGCAACGCCGCGUGAUCGAUGAAGCCCUUCGGGGUGUAAAGAUCUGUCAGUGGGGACGAAACCUGACGGUACCCACAGAGGAAGCACCGGCUAACUCCGUGCCAGCAGCCGCGGUAAUCCGGGGGGUGCAAGCGUGGACCGGAAUCAUUGGGCGUAAAGGGUUCGUAGGUGGCACGUUAAGUCUGGUGUUAAAGGCGGAAGCUCAACUUCCGUAGGGCCGUGGAUACUGGCGAGCUUGAAUGCGGUAGAGGUAAAGGGAAUGCCUGGUGUAGCGGUGAAAUGCGUAGAUAUCAGGAGGAACAUCGGUGGCGAAGGCGCUUUACUGGGCCGUAAUUGACGCUGAGGAACGAAAGCCGGGGUAGCAAAUGGGAUUAGAUACCCGAGUAGUC